RNAcentral lists this unclassified non-coding RNA (391 nucleotides) under soil metagenome. RNAcentral describes it as "partial contains 5.8S ribosomal RNA, internal transcribed spacer 2, and large subunit ribosomal RNA". The stretch from base 1 to 122 matches the Rfam family "5.8S ribosomal RNA", at positions 35 to 154 of the family's 154-position model. The record is from RNAcentral.
GAUGAAGAACGCAGCGAAAUGCGAUACUUGGUGUGAAUUGCAGAAUCCCGUGAACCAUCGAGUCUUUGAACGCAAGUUGCGCCCGAAGCCAUUAGGCCGAGGGCACGCCUGCCUGGGCGUCACACGUCGUUGCCCCCCCAUCUACUCCUUCGGGAUUGCGGGGGGCGGAUGAUGGCCUCUCGUGCGCCUCGUCGCGCGGUUGGCCUAAAUGCCAAGUCCUCGGCGACGCACGCCACGACAAUCGGUGGUUGCGAAACCUCGGUUGCCUGUCGUGUGCGGUCGUCGCGCAUCGAGGGCUCGAAAAAAUUGCCGGGCUUCGGCUCGACUUUCAACGCGACCCCAGGUCAGGCGGGGUUACCCGCUGAAUUUAAGCAUAUCAAUAAACGGAGGA